This is a non-coding RNA of Phascolarctos cinereus (koala), 271 nucleotides long. NCBI's taxonomy places the organism in Eukaryota, Metazoa, Chordata, Mammalia, Diprotodontia, Phascolarctidae. The record is from RefSeq and is a predicted model, not a curated record.
UGAUCAACCAUGUCACCAGAGUACAUAUGAUGAAGCAUAUCACUCACCUCUUGGACAGAGAGGUAUAGAUCUCUCUGGUGAAGAAAAUCAACCAACACAAGUUAUCACCUUCUCUGUAACUUGGAGUCAUAGAGAGUUACCUAGAACAUUAAAAAGUUUCAGAUUCUAUCCUUCUCUCCAAGUUCCUCCUCCAUCCAUUGGGAAAGCAAGAAAUUCCAUAAUCAUUACACAUAUGAAGUCAUGCAAAACAUAUUUCUGCAUCAGCUAUGGU